GAUGAACGCUAGCGGCAGGCUUAAUACAUGCAAGUCGAGGGGCAGCACGAAUAGCAAUAUUUGGUGGCGACCGGCGCACGGGUGCGUAACACGUAUACAACCUACCUAUAACAGGGGGAUAGCCUUUCGAAAGAGAGAUUAAUACCCCGUAAUAAAUUGAAUGGCAUCAUUUGAUUUUGAAAGCUACGGCGGUUAUAGAUGGGUAUGCGUCUGAUUAGCUAGUUGGUGAGGUAAUGGCUCACCAAGGCGACGAUCAGUAGGGGAUCUGAGAGGACUAACCCCCACACUGGUACUGAGACACGGACCAGACUCCUACGGGAGCAGCAGUAAGGAAUAUUGGUCAAUGGAGGCAACUCUGAACCAGCCAUGCCGCGUGCAGGAUGACGGCCCUAUGGGUUGUAAACUGCUUUUGUACCAGAGAAAACCUACUCACGUGUGAGUAGCUGAUAGUAUGGUAAGAAUAAGCAUCGGCUAACUUCGUGCCAG
This 486-nucleotide ribosomal RNA is filed under the name uncultured bacterium. RNAcentral's name for it is "bacterial SSU rRNA". It matches the Rfam family "Bacterial small subunit ribosomal RNA", at positions 28 to 511 of the family's 1533-position model. The record is from RNAcentral.